GUCUGCACUCCAACUAACCCAACAAUGUGCAGCUGUGGAUGGGAAGUCCAAGAGUCUAGAAGUUUCUCAGUCCCACGAGCUUACAUGUUUCAGCUGGCCUUCUGUAUAAGCUGGAAUCCUGAAAAGAUGCUUCUGCAAACAAUGAAGAAAUGGCCGUCUCACCUGUACUUCCUGUCAGGAUGACAUUGGUGGGAUCUUAGAGAAUGUAGAGCUUGGCUUUGUCAGAACACCCAAUGUGACCUAAGUCUGGAUAACUGCAACUCGAAUCUCCACACUGCCAUGCCCCCACUAGAAAGUACACAUUAUCAUCAUGCCAAAGAUGCCAAGAAAAACUUGGCCACUUUUAAGAGAAAAACACCACCAGCAUCAGUCAGCAUAUCUCCUCCAGGAUGCCCCUGUAGAGAAACUGCUCUCUGUUUCUUGAGGUUUCUAUUUAUACACUUCAUUGCCCUUUAUAAUGAAUGUCAAGAAUACAAAGAUUGAUUUGGUUUUGUCUGGGAAAGGGUUUGUUUUAAAGAUGCUAACAAAUUCAGGUAGUGGCAGGGUAUAGUUUCUAUAAGAUGAAAUUUCAAACAGCCGGUUACUGUUCUUCCAUCCCUUUGAAAGGGCCCAAACUAAACAGUCCCACAUUCAUUACAAAAGACCUCUGUAGAGUACCUUAUUAUGCAUCAUUUAGAAAGAGUAGAAGAACGCAAAUCCAGGAAUCCUUUGGAACUUCAGACUGUAUAAAUAGCCUUUCAAGAAAUGACAGUUUAAGCUAUGCUAUGCAGAAAGCAUGGCAGAGACAAUAAAUUAUUUGAACUGA
Molecule: long non-coding RNA, 805 nt
Organism: Mastomys coucha (southern multimammate mouse)
Lineage: Eukaryota; Metazoa; Chordata; Mammalia; Rodentia; Muridae
Exons: 2
Source: RefSeq, a predicted model, not a curated record